ACUCAAUAGAUACCCAGGUAGUCCUGGCAGUAAACGGUGCACGUUUGGUGUGGGAGGAAUCGACCCCUUCCGUGCCGGAGCUAAACGCGUUAAACGUGCCGCCUGGGGAGUACGGUCGCAAGAUUAAAACUCAAAGAGAUUGACGGGGGCCCGCACAAGCGGUGGAGUAUGUGGCUUAAUUCGAUGCAACGCGAAGAACCUUACCUGGGCUUGACAUGCAUCUCUAAGUCGGUGAAAGCCGGCGAGUCCCGCAAGGGACGAUUUGCACAGGUGCUGCAUGGCUGUCGUCAGCUCGUGUCGUGAGAUGUUGGGUUAGGUCCCGCAACGAGCGCAACCCCUGUGACCUGUUGCCACCUCUCUUUUUGAGAGAGCACUCUGGUCAGACUGCCCUGUGAAACGGGGAGGAAGGUGGGGAUGACGUCAAGUCAGCAUGGCCCUUACGCCCAGGGCUGCACACGUACUACAAUGCCUGGUACAGAAUGAACCGAGACCGCGAGGUGGAGGAAAUCCAUGAAAACCAGGCCCAAUUCGGA
RNAcentral lists this ribosomal RNA (533 nucleotides) under uncultured bacterium. RNAcentral describes it as "bacterial SSU rRNA". It matches the Rfam family "Bacterial small subunit ribosomal RNA", at positions 772 to 1297 of the family's 1533-position model. The record is from RNAcentral.